AACGAACGCUGGCGGCAGGCUUAACACAUGCAAGUCGAACGGUUGUAGCAAUACAGCAGUGGCAGACGGGUGAGUAACACGUGGGAACCUUCCUAGGGGUACGGAACAACUCAGGGAAACUUGAGCUAAUACCGUAUACGUCCGUGAGGAGAAAGAUUUAUCGCCCCUAGACGGGCCCGCGUAGGAUUAGGUAGUUGGUGAGGUAACGGCUCACCAAGCCUACGAUCCUUAGCUGAUCUGAGAGGAUGAUCAGCCACACUGGGACUGAGACACGGCCCAGACUCCCACGGGAGGCAGCAGUGGGGAAUUUUGGACAAUGGGCGCAAGCCUGAUCCAGCCAUGCCGCGUGAGUGAAGAAGGCCUUCGGGUUGUAAAGCUCUUUUACCAGGGACGAUAAUGACGGUACCUGGAGAAUAAGCCCCGGCAAACUUCGUGCCAGCCGCCGCAGUAA
Molecule: ribosomal RNA, 451 nt
Filed under: uncultured bacterium
Lineage: Bacteria
Description: partial 16S ribosomal RNA
Rfam family: Bacterial small subunit ribosomal RNA
Source: RNAcentral